RNAcentral lists this ribosomal RNA (160 nucleotides) under Oncosiphon grandiflorus. RNAcentral's name for it is "5.8S ribosomal RNA". It matches the Rfam family "5.8S ribosomal RNA". Rfam says of the family: 5.8S ribosomal RNA (5.8S rRNA) is a component of the large subunit of the eukaryotic ribosome. It is transcribed by RNA polymerase I as part of the 45S precursor that also contains 18S and 28S rRNA. The record is from RNAcentral. Lineage: Eukaryota; Viridiplantae; Streptophyta; Magnoliopsida; Asterales; Asteraceae.
GACUCUCGGCAACGGAUAUCUCGGCUCACGCAUCGAUGAAGAACGUAGCAAAAUGCGAUACUUGGUGUGAAUUGCAGAAUCCCGUGAACCAUCGAGUUUUUGAACGCAAGUUGCGCCCGAAGCCUUUUGGCUGAGGGCACGUCUGCCUGGGCGUCACGCA